This is a long non-coding RNA of Amaranthus tricolor (Joseph's coat), 8066 nucleotides long. RefSeq lists it as uncharacterized. Lineage: Eukaryota; Viridiplantae; Streptophyta; Magnoliopsida; Caryophyllales; Amaranthaceae. The record is from RefSeq and is a predicted model, not a curated record. The transcript has 3 exons.
AUAGUCAUAUGUCUAUGAAUUUGCUCGAAGUGAGAGCUUUUAGAAUGUAGUUUUAUCACAUUCAAAAGAUUAGAGUGAGUAAAGGGCGGUCUACUCAGUAGAUACCCAUAAUUAGGAUAGGAAUAAUGUGUUAUGAUUAAUUUAAUUUCAAACUUAAAUGUGCACCAUGUGCAGAGUGCUUUUACCUAUAGAAUUAUGUGCACAGCAGCAAAGGCUCCUGUUUGUUUUCCAAGAUAUGCAUGCUUAUUUCUGUUAUGAUUUAAUAUAGGGUAAAUUGAAAAACUAGUGAAAAUAUUAGUAUGAAAGGGAUUAGAUAAAUUGAACUGACUAAAAAUAAGUUGGGGAAAACGGAUUUUAAGUCCACUGAAGUUAUCUUGACAGGAAAGGAAUGAAAUAGUAAUUGUCACAUAAAAUUUAGCACUAGUGAAGUAUCAGAUGCUUUUGUUUCUUUCGGAAAGUCGAGCAUGUGCUGUUUAAAAGGUGCCUGUUGUCACCAUCAAAUAAUCUCUGUACUAAACUUAACAGUUAACUAAAUCAGAAACAAUUAGAGAGCAUUAUUAUCCCCCAAAAAUAUUUGUUGUAUUACUUUUUGCAUAUUUUUAGCAAAUUGAUCCCAACAAAAAAUUUUAUUGAAUAGGAAUAUGUUAGCAAAAGGGCAACUAAUGGUGUUGAUUUUGCUGGAGAAAAUUUUGUAGAUGUCAUGUAAGAAGUUGAGCAACAAUUGCAUGUACCCAUAUAUCAAUUUACAUGGUUGUCCACUUGAUUUUUUUCUAUUCAUUUUGAUUUUCUACCAUCUCAAUUUUGUAGUCUAGAUUCGUCAUAUUAUUUUCCACUCCUAUCUUCCAAGUCAUUUUCGGUCUUACUCGCCCUCUUUUUAAAACUCCUGAGCUCAAACUUUUUAUCUUUCUUACUGAUUUGUUAAUACCUCAUUUUUGCACAUGCUCAAACCAUCUUAAACACCGGUCUUUCAUCUUUUUCUCGAUAUUUACAACUCCUAAAUCCAAUUUUAUCCUUUAAGGUAUGCCUAUUCAUCCAUCAAAACAUUCGCGUUUAUACUGCUCCCUUAUUCUAUUUCUACUAUCAUCCUUUAUAAAAAUCCAAUAUUAUAAUCCUUAUAGUAGCGAUGUCUAUUGGCCAUUCAAUUAAAUUGAGAAGUGAGUGCGACUGUGUAAAAAAAAACCGUUUAAUUUUACAUCAUAUUUUUGGUGGUUAUUUUUUUUACGAAUAAUAAAGUAUUAAAAGCGUGUAAGCGUUUUUUUUAAUAAAUAAUGAAAAUAUUAAAUGACGAAAAACCAACCAUGAGUUAUGUGAAUUAUGUGCAAAUAUAUACUCCUUUAAAUUUUUUUAAAGCUUAAGGUCGGCAGAUAUCACCUCCCUUUGGUAAAAAAAAAAAAAGAAAAACAGAACUGUGGUCUAUAAUUGAGUACUAAAUACUAAUGAAUUUCAUCAGUUGUUGUAAACAUCAACCCGCUGUACGUACAUGCUCAUUUCCCAAAUUUUGUCCGUGCUAUAAGAUAUUAGGCCCACAACCAUUGCCACAACAGAUUAUGGCUUAUGCUUCUGUUAGAAAAAUACAUGAAUGGUUUACAUUUUUAGUCAUUUAAUGCUGUCCUGCAUGGCUGCACCCUUUGUACAAUCUGCAUCUACUUAUUGGCCAUUAUAUUUAUUCAAAAAUAUCCCCUAAAUUUUCCUAUUGGUUUCCUUUAUUAUAUAUAAGUAUUUUUUCACCAUUUGUGUUAGGUUCUAUGACUUCCAUACAUACAUUCUUUUGCCAUUUGUUUUAAUUUCUGUCAACUGUUUUGGCACUUUUGUUUAGAUACCUUUAAAAUUUAACUAUCUCUUAAUAUAUCAUUUGUUUAUUUUUAAUAUUUCUUUUUAAUCAAAAAAAGUUUAAGCUUUUGACAUUAUUUUAGCUAAUGAAGCAAUCUCAAAGGAGCGGAGGAAAUAACUUUUUGGUGUUAUCUUUACUACUAGCUGUCUAGGUACAACAGUUAAUUUCAAAAGUAUGUUUCUCAAUUAUUUUCCAAGCUCUUUCAAAAAUAGUUAAAAUGUUUUGAAGACAAUUUUUUUUGCCUUUGUGAAGUAGUGAUCUGUUGUGCACAAAGAAAUUGAUAAUCCUAGCAAAAGUACACAUGCACCUCUACAUGCACGCCCGUAUGAUGCUAUGAUGCUAGGGCGCACAAUACUAACAUACUAAUGUAUAAUGGUUGCCCUACAUGCAUAGAAUAUGCAUCUCCGGAGAGAUGUAAAUGAGUUUCCCAUUUGAAUAUGUGAUAGAUUUGAAAUUUUGAAUGAUCAUGUACUGUACAAUUCAUUCAUUCCCUUUGAUGCCUAUUAUUACAUGCGCGAACAUGGUUUUUUUGGGGGGCAGUAAGUUAUGGACUUAAAUUCUUUGGCUUCUGGGUUAACCUUUUUAGGGUUUUGGGCAGGGUUUGCUUGCCAUUAAAAAAACCUUUUCUUUUCUUAGCUAUUUGUUUAUCAUUCAGGACACUUCUUUUCACACAAAGGAAGACCCACCUCACAUUCCCCACUACCUUGCAAAGAAAAUAUAAAAUGAAGGAAAAAUAAAAUAAAAUAAUAAAUAAAGAAUAUUGGCCCACCUCAGAGUAAAAGUUUGAUACAGUUAUAAAAGCAUGCCUGGCUGCCUACCCCCCUUAUAAUAAAGCUGGGCUUAUAAUUAAAGGAGUUUUAGAUUCUCCAUGGAAUUGAACCUAAUUUUAUAAUUAUAUCUGACGUAUUAGAAUUGAAAAUUCAAAUGCUGACUGUGUUCUUAAAGUCUGUGUAUAUCAGUUACAUAAGUAUAAUACUUGGAUAGGAUUAGAUUGACAUUAACUGGAAAAAUGUUUGGUUCAUUUAGAGUAUAAACUGUGUUAGUUGAACUUUUUAUCGUGAAUAUAUAUGUCGGAUUUUUAACAUUCUAAGGAGUGUGGAUAUUUGGGUUUUGAUAUCUUCAACUUGUUUUGAGUUCAUUUUAGUUCGGUCGUAUUCAAUUUAGGGAAUUCAUUGGACACUUUGUCUAUGUAAUGUAACAUAAGCUAUCAACCCUUAGUCUAGUUUAAAUAAGAAAAUUAUAGUUUUUUCUUUUAAUGUGACGGUGGAUGUGAGGGUUGCUAGAUGUCAAUUUUCGCAUUAAAUGUGUUACUGUGUUUAAGGGAGGUAAGAUAGUGAUGAGUUUACUAAUUGAAUCAAGCUGCUUUAGAAGAGGAAGAAAAGAGUGACAGAAAUGAUAUGAGUACAUUGGUGUCAAUUCUAAUCCAUACAUGAUUGCUUUUCAUAGAAGUCAAUGUCUUGAGGAAAGUAAAGCUUUGAAUAUGGCUUUUUCCCUUUUUUCUUUUUCCACUUGGAAUAUGCACUGUGCCAAUUCUAAUCUUAAUUUAAAGUGACGUCAAUAUGAAGCUAUGUAUAUGCUCUCUGAAAGAAUGAUGACACUCAUAACAAAGUAUGAGAGUCUCAUUGUUACAUGAUUCGUUAAUCUACACGCGAAUUGUGAAUCAAAAAAAGCAAAUUAUGGUCGGUUUUGGACUAUUCUUGGGCAAACUUGAGCAAAUCACGAAUUCAAAAGGCGAAUUAGCUAGUGAAUCUUGUUAGAAAUAUUGUUAGAAUUCAUAAUACUCCAUUCAUCCCAAUUAUAUGCCCUACCUUUUAUUCAUAUUAGUCUGUUAUUUUAAUCAAAUCUAAACAUAUCUUUAGGACAGAGGAUUUAAGUGUUAAAAAAUAUGAACCAUAACAUAGCUCAACAUGUAAGUAUACUCGACAUGUUAAUGACCCGAAUGUUUAAUUGUCGAAAUUGCUUGUGUUUACUUGUGUCUGGAUCACUGCCUAUUGUGCACAAUUUAGUUUUGGCAUCUUAGUUUUUGGUGAAUGAUUGUUGAUGUUUCCAUUUGUUAUCUAAAAAACCUGUAGCUUCCCUUCCCUCUAAUUUGGUGGAAUGUGGAUAACUGUUGAUGAUAUGAAAAUGAGUGAAGUUUGCGUACAUCCAAAACUGCACAGAAUUAUGUAUAGUACACUGGAGAAUUUGUCAAUACAGUUUACCUUUUAGUGGACUUAUUUUUUGACCAAGACUCGGUAAGUAGCUUUCAUGCCUCUGUUCAACCAAAUCGUUGUAGUAACAGAAAUAAGGAUGUUCAUAUUCAUAGUGAUUGUGAGGGUAAAUAUUGACAGCAAAAAAUAGAAAAGGUUAAUUAUUCGAAACAAUUAGCUUUUGUUCUUGUAGCCUUUUUAUUUUUGGAAUUAAGGCUUCGACAUUUUGUUGCGCAGUAAAUAGUGAUAGGUCCAUAGUACAAUACUGAUAAUAAUUGCACCAUAAGCCGUAAAAAGCAUCAUUUUAGGCCUAUUUAAGAGAUAUUUCAUGGGUUCAGCCGAUAAUUGGUGAUAUGACUUGCCACAUUAACAAUUGAAACGCAGUUUUGCACAAUACAAAAGUUAAGUUCACAUAUUAGGGUUACCUUUUUUGCGCAUCAUGCACUUGAUCAAUUAUAUAAACGUGAAUUGCUGGAGAGUCUAUAUCUCUAUGUAGAAGUAUUAUCUUUCUUCCUAAACCCACAUUCUCUGAUGGAUAAGAUGAGGCCAUGAGGCCAUGAGGGUGAAGGAGCCACCAUCCUAUAUAUUACUUGGCUAGGUAUAGAAUCAAGAAUCAAGCGCCAAAGCUUUUAAAAUCAUCUCCUUUUCUAUGUGGCUUAAUGCACAGCAUACGAUAAAAAUGUCCUCUUUUUCUUGCUUUAGAUUAAUUUAAGACCGAAGCGAUAAUGCAAAAACAAGGCCAUCAAAAUAUAGGCAGAGACAACUGCCGAAUCAUUCACGACUUAAAACCUUUUUCACAAACUGUUACAGCGAUUAUCACCGAAAUCAUAUUUUUGCACUAUGAACUUAACACCUCCAAAUCAUGGAUGCAUCACAGUUGCAUUGUAUUCCACUAUGGAUUUUGUAACUGUACAGUUCAUCAAAGCAUUUAAUCUAUGCCAAUAAUUGAAUUAUAUAAGAGCUUAUUUCUGUAACAUAAAGUAUUAAUUCAUAUUAUUGCUAAAGUAUAGAUCAUUCAAAAGUUAAAAUAUAGUAUUAAAUGAUAAAUAGCACUGUCAAUUUUUAUAUUUGUUUUUUUGAUAUAUGGUCUCGUUUAUUUAUAUUGAUAUGAUAUGAAUACUUGCUAAGUACGUCGAAAGAUAAGAUUACUGUUUACUUAGUAUAAUAAUUGUGUGAUUACUUUAUUUAUAUUGUCCUAUUCUGAUAAAGAUUGAGAUAGCUCAUUGGAUUUUGGAUGUGAAGCCAUGUGAUAUUAUCAAUAAUGGGUUUUUUACAUUUUUUUUAAUUUUGUACCUUCUUUUAAAAGAAAAGCUGAUGUUAGCUGCCAUAACUUUACAAAAAGUUCCACUUGAAGAAAAGCAAGCCUUCAACUAAGUAUGAACUAGCUGCUCAGCUCGGGAAUGCUACUAAAGAGGACAAAACUAGACAAUUGAUAAUUUUUAUCUUAACAUACUAAAACCUUUUCCCCUUUCUUUUUUGCUGGUAAUUAGAGAAGAUUCUCUUGGUUGUGAAGGUCAAAAGUUUUUGCAAAGUAGCACUUCUUUUAGAUUAUAGUUUGUUUCAAAUCAUCCAUCCUAUAUGUUAGGUGUAUUUUUUAUUUCAAAGUAAUUAUUCUACAACAUUAAGUGCCUCCCACCGGACGGUGUCUGAAGGUUAGAUGUGCGCAACCUUUCUCUUGUUAGAGCUUACAAAAAGGCUGUUUCCAAGACCCGUGGUAGCAAACGUCAUCUUUAACUUCACAUAAUAAGGCAUGCACUUGAUUUGAUAGUGAUUUAAUGUAAUCCAUUAUAAUCCGAAACUAAAGAACUAUAAAUAUUUUUCCCGGACAAAAUAAGGGACUGAAUUUCAAAGUAAACCUAAGAAAUUUUAUGAUGAGAAAGUUUUUACACCCAAGUAAGCUGGUUUAGCCUCAAGAAAUUGUAUACUUAUGCUUUAGUUAAUUUGGUUCUUUAUUUUAUUUAUGACUGCUGUUCUAAACAAGAGACUAGAAAGUAGAAGUAUAUGCUAAUCUUGGGUUUCUUUCUUUUGCUAGAAAAUCUUAUUCUCAUUUUAAUUAGGAAGUUAUGUUUUGGGACUAUCUAAUUGAAGUACUUCUAAAUCAUACUUGGGAAUGACAAAGAAAAGGACUGACAAAGGCAAAAAAUACAGUGAACUUUGUGCAAUAUUGUCUUCAAUCUUGUCCAAUGAACUCUUUCUGAAAGUUGACAACAAGUCUUAUUGUGAAUGUAAAAUCUUCUAAUGAAAAAGUUCUUGCUUGGAGGGUAAAAUUUGUUAUCUUAAUUUUGCAAUAAGUUUCUAUCAGCUGGAAGCAAUCUUGAGAAGGAAUCUAAAGUUAUUUUGACUUAAAACGUUGAAAGAACAAACUGUUCGUCUCUUCUGUUUUAUUUAUCCUUUUUAAUUAUCUCCUUUUGACUUCGACAUACAUAAUUUUAGUCCUGAUGAACAAAACUUACUUCCCCACAAUAUCAGGACUAAGAUCUUUUCCUCCUUCGCGACCAACAGAAAGGAGAAUGUCAUCCUCAAAUGUGGGGGGAAAACUCAAGAACUAGAGCAGGCCUUAAAGAUUGCCCAAGAUGAGAAAAAAUUGUUUUGUAUUUACAUAGUUACUAGAAAUAUUAGAGAGGACAUUAGAAGAACAAGGGGUUGCCUUUUGUAGUUCAAGAGCUAAAGAGGAAGAUGAAAGGCGGAUCAUCGCUUGAGAGAAGAGCAAAAUGCUGCAUAUCUUGCAGCCCUCAAAUUAGACCAGGAAAGGAAAAGACUAGGGAAAAUGCCUUCACAACAAAUAGAUGAGAAAUCAGAAGCACUGAAACAAGCAACAAAUAGAAGAUUUAUUCAGUGGCCAAGGCAAAAUCCUACACUGAACAAAGCUAGUCAAGAAAUCAGCUGUAACAAAUAGAGAAAACAUGCACAAAGAUAGGGUCAAUAAGGCCAAUAUUAAUGCAGUCACUCAGGUUUUCGAAUGGCUGAGCGAAAGAAGCACAGUUUCUCAGCAACAGACAAGGUGCAGGCAAUAUGCUAAUUCUACUACAUAGAUUUGGAAUUUAGAAUUACAGAUUAAUAUCAAGCUUCUCAAGAAAACUUCUUGGUGUUGAUCAAAUGGUAAUGACUUUAGAAGAUGCUGGCCUUCAUCCUAGAAUUAGUUUGUAUUUAGACCUCUAAAUACAUAGUUUUAUGACAAGUGCUGAUCAGCUUUAUAUAAUAUCUGAUUAUAGGAAGCACUUCAUAGAAACAUAAAUUUGAUACACCGUUCCAUUAUUCCAAUGUCAUUAAGUGGCUCCCAUCUAGGCGAGAUUGAUGAGUCGAAUAUGUAUGCAGUCUUACCCUUGUUAGUAAUUACAAAGAGGUUGUUUCCGUUAAUAAUUGAUGUCAACCAUCAUUUCAACCUCACAUAAGGAAACAACGAUUUAAUGUAGCUAGUAAGAAAAAUUGAGAAUGUAAUUUAGAUAUUUAUUUGAAGAUUUAUGUUUUCUUGCACAUAUAUGUAUUAUGUUAAAUUUGUUAUCAUUAAAUUCAGUGUAUAUUAUUAUAUUCAUUCUAUAAUCUAGUUCUUGAUAAAGCUUACAAUGAAGUUUAUAGCUAGUGGCUAUCAGUUAUUUGUGGUUGAAAUUCUACUAAAAUUUAAUCGUACCAACCUUGUAUUUCUAUUGAAUAAAAAACGACUAAUCAUUAUUGAUUAGAUGGUUACUUCCUUUAAAAUUAAAAUUUUCAAAGAAAAUGAUUUGAUAUGUUUUAGAUAAUUUGUUUUAUUCAAAUAAGUCAAGAUUUACAUGAGUGUUUGAAAUUCUAAAGGUGAUGAUUAUAUCAUUAAGUGGCAAGUUACUAUGCAAAUUAUUCUUCUUAAUACCAAACCAACAACCACUUAAAAAUUACCAGUCCUUUGUGAUAAUGUCUCAACUCUUACAAACAUUGAACAGUUUGGGGCAAUUUGGAUCUUAAUUCUGUAAGCAUUUUAAUUUUUAUUACCUUAAAUGUUUUUGAGUAUUUGGCAUUUAAUUAUAAAUUAGAAACACAUUUUACAUGAAAUGUUUAAGUUUAUAGGAUUUUAA